ACGGUUCGGCCGAGCACUCUAAAUAGACUGCCUUCGUAAGGAGGAGGAAGGUGUGGACGACGUCAAGUCAUCAUGGCCCUUAUGCCCAGGGCGACACACGUGCUACAAUGGCAUAUACAAUGAGACGCAAUACCGCGAGGUGGAGCAAAUCUAUAAAAUAUGUCCCAGUUCGGAUUGUUCUCUGCAACUCGAGAGCAUGAAGCCGGAAUCGCUAGUAAUCGUAGAUCAGCCAUGCUACGGUGAAUACGUUCCCGGGUCUUGUACUCACCGCCCGUCACACCAUGGGAGUUGAUUUCACUCGAAGCCGGAAUACUAAACUAGUUACCGUCCACAGUGGAAUCAGCGACUGGGGUGAAGUCGUAACAAGGUAACCGUAGGAGAACCUGCGGUUGGAUCACCUCCUUU
This 405-nucleotide ribosomal RNA is filed under the name Campylobacter jejuni. RNAcentral describes it as "bacterial SSU rRNA". It matches the Rfam family "Bacterial small subunit ribosomal RNA", at positions 1121 to 1533 of the family's 1533-position model. The record is from RNAcentral. Lineage: Bacteria; Pseudomonadati; Campylobacterota; Epsilonproteobacteria; Campylobacterales; Campylobacteraceae.